AGCAUUUUUUUCCCUGCAAAAAACCAUAGGCAAGAUUGCAACAUGCUUGGAAUUGUGAAGUGCAGCUUUACAGUCCACACAGUCCCAGGAAGAAUUUAAACUGGAGGACCUGAAGAAGCUAGAACCAAUCCUAAAGAAUAUUCUCACGUAUAAUAAAGAAUUUCCAUUUGAUGUUCAGCCUGUCCCAUUAAGGUAAAUAAAUAAGCAUCCAUAUUUUGUCUUCUGAUUUUAUUAUCUAUUUUAUGCC
Ictidomys tridecemlineatus (thirteen-lined ground squirrel) is the source of this 247-nucleotide non-coding RNA. Lineage: Eukaryota; Metazoa; Chordata; Mammalia; Rodentia; Sciuridae. The record is from RefSeq and is a predicted model, not a curated record.